GGCAGGGAUUGUGGCUCAGUGGUACAGCAUUUGCCUGGCAUGCGUGAGGCCCUGGGUUCAAUCCCCAGCACUGCCA
Marmota monax (woodchuck) is the source of this 76-nucleotide non-coding RNA. The record is from the annotation of a RefSeq genome assembly. Lineage: Eukaryota; Metazoa; Chordata; Mammalia; Rodentia; Sciuridae.